GCCCGCUUAGCUCAGGGGACCAGAGCAUCUGUCUUCGGAACAGAGGGUCGGGGGUUCGAAUCCCUCAGCGGGCACCU
Molecule: transfer RNA, 77 nt
Filed under: Betaproteobacteria bacterium
Lineage: Bacteria; Pseudomonadati; Pseudomonadota; Betaproteobacteria
Also listed under: 1 other name
Description: tRNA-Arg
Rfam family: tRNA
About the family: Transfer RNA (tRNA) molecules are approximately 80 nucleotides in length. Their secondary structure includes four short double-helical elements and three loops (D, anti-codon, and T loops). Further hydrogen bonds mediate the characteristic L-shaped molecular structure. tRNAs have two regions of fundamental functional importance: the anti-codon, which is responsible for specific mRNA codon recognition, and the 3' end, to which the tRNAs corresponding amino acid is attached (by aminoacyl-tRNA synthetases). tRNAs cope with the degeneracy of the genetic code in two manners: having more than one tRNA (with a specific anti-codon) for a particular amino acid; and 'wobble' base-pairing, i.e. permitting non-standard base-pairing at the 3rd anti-codon position.
Source: RNAcentral